GUGGGGAAUAUUGGACAAUGGGCGCAAGCCUGAUCCAGCCAUGCCGCGUGAGUGAUGAAGGCCUUAGGGUUGUAAAGCUCUUUCAGUGGGGACGAUAAUGACGGUACCCACAGAAGAAGCCCCGGCUAACUUCGUGCCAGCAGCCGCGGUAAUACGAAGGGGGCUAGCGUUGUUCGGAUUUACUGGGCGUAAAGCGCACGUAGGCGGAUCGUUAAGUCGGGGGUGAAAUCCUGGAGCUCAACUCCAGAACUGCCUUCGAUACUGGCGAUCUUGAGUCCGGAAGAGGUGAGUGGAACUCCUAGUGUAGAGGUGGAAUUCGUAGAUAUUAGGAAGAACACCAGUGGCGAAGGCGGCUCACUGGUCCGGUACUGACGCUGAGGUGCGAAAGCGUGGGGAGCAAACAGG
RNAcentral lists this ribosomal RNA (405 nucleotides) under uncultured bacterium. RNAcentral's name for it is "bacterial SSU rRNA". It matches the Rfam family "Bacterial small subunit ribosomal RNA", at positions 354 to 776 of the family's 1533-position model. The record is from RNAcentral. RNAcentral also lists the same sequence under 1 other name.